Molecule: long non-coding RNA, 753 nt
Filed under: Callithrix jacchus (white-tufted-ear marmoset)
Lineage: Eukaryota; Metazoa; Chordata; Mammalia; Primates; Cebidae
Description: lncRNA (ENSCJAG00000070037.1)
Source: RNAcentral
CUUGCCUGAUUGUUUAUUUGCAGAUUUAUCUCAUAGUAAGAGAGAAUUCUUUGAAAUUCUGUCUUUUGUUACGCCACUAAGGGAGUGGUGAGUGUGUGGAGAUAGUGCUUCACGUCUGUGCCCACUAGAAGAAUGAUUCCAGGUACUGGAGACCCUAAUACCCUCUUCAGUGGCCUGGAGAGUUGAUGGCCAAGGGAUCAUAGCCACUCAGUGGGAAGUCAAGAUUCUAUUUCAUUCCUUUUCCCGAACUAGCACUUGUAUCUCAGUAGGAGCUCUGUUAAUGAAUCAAUUAAGGAGGGUAUUAUUAUUGGAAGCUGUUUUCAGACCAAUUAAGACCUUUCGACAUGUCAGUUGCAAUAAUAAAAGUGAGUUAAGUCUCAAUUUUUCUUUAUUAGGGUGUUUAUUAGAAGAUUGAAAUGUUCAUUACUUGGAAUAAAGUGAUACAUCCAUCUUCUGCUCAUCAGAAGCACAAUGGAAACUCUGUUGUACUCAGGGCUAAUGUGAUGGCAUUUUUAUACAGAGAGCUGAGUUCUAACUCUGCUUUGGCUGCAGGGGAUAAUGCAGUAAGAAGGCCCUUACCAGACCCUGAUACCUCAACGUUGGAUUUCCCAGUCUCCAGAACGGUAAGAAAUAAAUUUCUAUUGUUCAUAAAUUACUCAGUCUGUGAUAUUCUGUUAUAACAAUGCUAAACAAAUGAAGACAGAAACAGGUACCAGAAGUGGGGUGUUCUAGAAUCAAUUUCUAAAAAUGUGG